This 72-nucleotide transfer RNA is filed under the name Camelus bactrianus (Bactrian camel). It matches the Rfam family "tRNA". From Rfam's summary of the family: Transfer RNA (tRNA) molecules are approximately 80 nucleotides in length. RNAcentral also lists the same sequence under 2 other names. The record is from Rfam by way of RNAcentral. Lineage: Eukaryota; Metazoa; Chordata; Mammalia; Artiodactyla; Camelidae.
GAGGGUAUAGCUCAGUGGUAGAGUGCAUGAUUACCAUGCACGAUGUCCUGGGUUCAAUCCCCAGAACCUCCA